GCCUGGGUGGCUCAGUUGGUUAAGCAUCUGACUUCCGCUCAGGUCAUGAUCUCACAGUUCAUGGGUUCAAGUCCCACAUCAGGCU
This 85-nucleotide transfer RNA is filed under the name Felis catus (domestic cat). It matches the Rfam family "tRNA". From Rfam's summary of the family: Transfer RNA (tRNA) molecules are approximately 80 nucleotides in length. Their secondary structure includes four short double-helical elements and three loops (D, anti-codon, and T loops). Further hydrogen bonds mediate the characteristic L-shaped molecular structure. tRNAs have two regions of fundamental functional importance: the anti-codon, which is responsible for specific mRNA codon recognition, and the 3' end, to which the tRNAs corresponding amino acid is attached (by aminoacyl-tRNA synthetases). tRNAs cope with the degeneracy of the genetic code in two manners: having more than one tRNA (with a specific anti-codon) for a particular amino acid; and 'wobble' base-pairing, i.e. permitting non-standard base-pairing at the 3rd anti-codon position. Lineage: Eukaryota; Metazoa; Chordata; Mammalia; Carnivora; Felidae. RNAcentral also lists the same sequence under 1 other name. The record is from Rfam by way of RNAcentral.